GAUGAACGCUGGCGGCGUGCUUAACACAUGCAAGUCGAACGAAGCAUUUAGAACGGAUUACUUCGGUUUGAAGUUCUUUAUGACUGAGUGGCGGACGGGUGAGUAACGCGUGGGUAACCUGCCUUGUACUGGGGGAUAGCAGCUGGAAACGGCUGGUAAUACCGCAUAAGCGGACAAUGUUGCAUGACAUGGUGUGAAAAACUCCGGUGGUAUAAGAUGGACCCGCGUCUGAUUAGCUAGUUGGUGAGAUAACAGCCCACCAAGGCGACCAUCAGUAGCCGACCUGAGAGGGUGACCGGCCACAUUGGGACUGAGACACGGCCCAGACUCCUACGGGAGGCAGCAGUGGGGAAUAGUGCACAAUGGAGGAAACUCUGAUGCAGCGACGCCGCGUGAGUGAAGAAGUAACUCGUUAUGUAAAGCUCUAUCAGCAGGGAAGAUAGUGACGGUACCUGACUAAGAAGCUCCGGCUAAAUACGUGCCAGCAGCCGCGGUAA
This 497-nucleotide ribosomal RNA is filed under the name uncultured bacterium. Its description in RNAcentral is "partial 16S ribosomal RNA". It matches the Rfam family "Bacterial small subunit ribosomal RNA", at positions 28 to 523 of the family's 1533-position model. The record is from RNAcentral.